CAAUGCUGUGCGAUCAGCAUUGAUCACUGUGGCGGCAGUAAUGCUUAUCCUGGCUCUGCUUGGUUUUUUCCUUUCUAUCCUUGGGCACCAACAUGCUAUUCAUAUAUUUGUGGUUAGUGGGUGGCUAUUAGUGGCAAUUACAUUCAUUCUUUGUGGAGUUUUUAUAAUUCUUAACAAUGCAAUUUCUGAUACCUGUAUGGCCAUGGAAGAAUGGGUAGAUCACCCCCAUGCAGUGACUGCUCUUAGCAGCAUCCUUCCGUGUGUUGACCAGAGCACGACAAACAAGACACUCAUUCAGAGUAAAGAAGUGAUAAAUGAUAUUGUAAAUGUUGUCAAUACAUACAUAUACACCUUUGCAAAUGCAAAUCCAUCCCAGACCGAGUACAAUUAUUAUAACCAGUCUGGACCUUUCAUGCCUCCACUUUGUUACCCAUUUGACUCUCAGCUUCAAGACCGUCAGUGUGGGCCCCAAGAGGUGUCCAUGACAAAUGCAUCCAUGGUUUGGGAGGACUAUGUUUGCAAGGUCUCACCAUUUGGGCUGUGCACAACUGUUGGUAGGGCGACCCCUGAGAUCUACGACCAGUUGGUAGCAGCAGUAAUGGAAAGCUAUGCUCUAGAGCACUAUACCCCACUUUUGCUCAGUCUCCAGGACUGUAAAUUUGUCAGGGACACAUUCCAAGAAAUCACCUCGAAUUAUUGCCCUCCAUUGGAACAUUAUCUGAAGAUUGUAAAUGCAGGACUGGGCCUUAUAGCAGUUGGAGUUUUACUCUGUCUCCUCCUCUGGAUACUCUAUGCAAACCGCCCCCAAAGGGAGGAAGUGUUUGUGAAAUUACCCUUGCCAAUAAAAGGCGUCAAUAGCAGGAGCAGCAAUAAGAACAGUUCAAGACAUCACGACAACAAUGAUGCAUCAUUGUCAAAUACUAGUGAAGUAUAGCGAAUUAGAAAAUCAACACAAAAUCAUCUUUAUUUCUGUGAGUUCAGUUACAUCCCGUAACAAGGGAAGAUACCAAGAUGGGGCGAAGUUCCAUUUUGAGUUGUAGGAUAGUGAUCAUAUGUGCUGUAUUGUUACUCUUGUAUGGAUGAAGUGUUU
RNAcentral lists this unclassified non-coding RNA (1090 nucleotides) under Hevea brasiliensis (rubber tree). Lineage: Eukaryota; Viridiplantae; Streptophyta; Magnoliopsida; Malpighiales; Euphorbiaceae. The record is from RNAcentral.